Molecule: long non-coding RNA, 486 nt
Filed under: Rattus norvegicus (Norway rat)
Lineage: Eukaryota; Metazoa; Chordata; Mammalia; Rodentia; Muridae
Description: long non-coding RNA NONRATT028812
Source: RNAcentral
CCUUUAAAAUGCAGAGUCCCUUGCAGAUAACUUGGCAGAGUAAACAGCAUUGCCUGGGAGGAGAUCAGGCCUUUUGCUGGAGGGUAUCUUUCCCACUGGGUAGCCAACAUGCUCUCCUGGGAAGAAGCAGAAUUCCAACAUGCUGUUAAGUUGUCCUACUCCAGCAUUCAAGGGGAUGCUCCCCGGAAUUUCUCCCCAAAUCCCACCGCAUUGGAACCCACACCAUCUGGUUGGCUAGAAUUUCUGUGAACCACUCACAAGAGAAUGGGUUCUAAGUAAGGUCGGCAGUCAAGUGAAACUCGGAAUCAGUGAACUAUCUAACAGUGUAAUCAAAGAACGGGUUAGUACCCUCCCAGGGCAAUGUCGGAAUAGCAGUAGUGGGUUUAUGUUUUGGCAAAUUGUCAAAAGUAUAGAAAAAUCCAGUGUCAUCUACAUGCAUAUGAUAGUCAAAGUUUAAAGAGCUUUUUCUUUCAAUUGAAAAAAAAA